Molecule: ribosomal RNA, 428 nt
Filed under: Pseudomonas fluorescens
Lineage: Bacteria; Pseudomonadati; Pseudomonadota; Gammaproteobacteria; Pseudomonadales; Pseudomonadaceae
Description: bacterial SSU rRNA
Rfam family: Bacterial small subunit ribosomal RNA
Source: RNAcentral
UGGGAGCAAACAGGGAUUAGAUACCCCUGUAGUCCACGCCGUAAACGAUGUCAACUAGCCGUUGGGAGCCUUGAGCUCUUAGUGGCGCAGCUAACGCAUUAAGUUGACCGCCUGGGGAGUACGGCCGCAAGGUUAAAACUCAAAUGAAUUGACGGGGCCCGCACAAGCGGUGGAGCAUGUGGUUUAAUUCGAAGCAACGCGAAGAACCUUACCAGGCCUUGACAUCCAAUGAACUUUCUAGAGAUAGAUUGGUGCCUUCGGGAACAUUGAGACAGGUGCUGCAGGCUGUCGUCAGCUCGUGUCGUGAGAUGUUGGGUUAAGUCCCGUAACGAGCGCAACCCUUGUCCUUAGUUACCAGCACGUUAUGGUGGGCACUCUAAGGAGACUGCCGGUGACAAACCGGAGGAAGGGGGGAUGACGUCAAGUCA